Molecule: ribosomal RNA, 500 nt
Filed under: uncultured bacterium
Lineage: Bacteria
Description: partial 16S ribosomal RNA
Rfam family: Bacterial small subunit ribosomal RNA
Source: RNAcentral
AUUGAACGCUGGCGGCAUGCCUUACACAUGCAAGUCGAACGGCAGCACGGGAGCAAUCCUGGUGGCGAGUGGCGAACGGGUGAGUAAAGUAUCGGAACGUGCCCAGUCGUGGGGGAUAACGUAGCGAAAGUUACGCUAAUACCGCAUACGAUCUAUGGAUGAAAGCGGGGGAUCGCAAGACCUCGCGCGAUUGGAGCGGCCGAUAUCAGAUUAGGUAGUUGGUGGGGUAAAGGCUCACCAAGCCGACGAUCUGUAGCUGGUCUGAGAGGACGACCAGCCACACUGGGACUGAGACACGGCCCAGACUCCUACGGGAGGCAGCAGUGGGGAAUUUCGGACAAUGGGCGAAAGCCUGAUCCAGCCAUGCCGCGUGCAGGAUGAAGGCCUUCGGGUUGUAAACUGCUUUCGUACGGAACGAAAAGGUUUGGCCUAAUAAGCUGAGCUCAUGACGGUACCGUAAGAAUAAGCACCGGCUAACUACGUGCCAGCAGCCGCAGUAA